UACAAAGGGGGCUAGCGGUGUUCGGAAUCACUGGGCGUAAAGCGCACGCAGGCGGAUCGAUAAGUCGGGGGUGAAAGCCCGGGGCUCAACCUCGGAAUUGCCUUCGAUACUGUCGGUCUCGAGUCCGGGAGAGGUGAGUGGAAUUCCUAGUGUAGAGGUGAAAUUCGUAGAUAUUAGGAAGAACACCAGUGGCGAAGGCGGCUCACUGGCCCGGUACUGACGAUCAGGUGCGAAAGCGUGGGGAGCAAACAGG
This 253-nucleotide ribosomal RNA is filed under the name uncultured bacterium. RNAcentral's name for it is "partial 16S ribosomal RNA". It matches the Rfam family "Bacterial small subunit ribosomal RNA", at positions 524 to 776 of the family's 1533-position model. The record is from RNAcentral.